RNAcentral lists this small RNA (576 nucleotides) under Pan troglodytes (chimpanzee). RNAcentral's name for it is "retained intron". The record is from RNAcentral. Lineage: Eukaryota; Metazoa; Chordata; Mammalia; Primates; Hominidae.
AGGCCGGACAGUGGCUGUGGAUUGGGCCGUGGCAAAGGAUAAAUAUAAAGAUACACAGUCUGUUUCUGCUAUAGGUGAGGAAAAGAGCCAUGAAUCUAAACAUCAGGAAUCAGUUAAAAAGAAGGGCAGGGAGGAAGAGGAUAUGGAAGAGGAAGAAAACGAUGAUGAUGACGAUGAUGAUGAUGAAGAAGAUGGGGUUUUUGAUGAUGAAGAUGAAGAUGAAGAGGAAGAGAAUAUAGAAUCAAAGGUGACCAAGCCUGUGCAAAUUCAGAAGAGGUAAGCAGCUCAUCCUGUUCUGAGACAGCAGAGGAAGAUUCAAGAUUGUCUCCGAGAGGAAAAAUUCUCCUUUUUCUGCCUGCAUCAUUGCAAAAUUGACAUGUGUAAUGAAAUUGAAUAGGCCCUCUGUCAGCCCACCUCCUUAGUUCUGAUCUGUGCCAUUGCAGAGCAGUCAAGAGACCAGCCCCUGCAAAAAGCAGUGAUCAUUCUGAGGAGGACAGUGACCUAGAGGAAAGCGAUAGUAUUGAUGAUGGAGAGGAACUGGCUCAGAGUGAUACCAGCACUGAGGAGCAAGAGGAU